This 65-nucleotide transfer RNA is filed under the name Dipodomys ordii (Ord's kangaroo rat). It matches the Rfam family "tRNA". Rfam says of the family: Transfer RNA (tRNA) molecules are approximately 80 nucleotides in length. Their secondary structure includes four short double-helical elements and three loops (D, anti-codon, and T loops). Lineage: Eukaryota; Metazoa; Chordata; Mammalia; Rodentia; Heteromyidae. The record is from Rfam by way of RNAcentral.
GGUGGCUCAGUGGUAGAGUGCUUGCCUUGCAUGCAUGAGGCACAGGGUUUGAUUCCUUAGCACCA